RNAcentral lists this ribosomal RNA (253 nucleotides) under uncultured bacterium. RNAcentral's name for it is "partial 16S ribosomal RNA". It matches the Rfam family "Bacterial small subunit ribosomal RNA", at positions 524 to 776 of the family's 1533-position model. The record is from RNAcentral.
UACAGAGGGUGCGAGCGUUGUUCGGAAUUAUUAGGCGUAAAGCGCUUGUAGGCGGCCUGUCAAGUCGCGUGUGAAAUCCCCUGGCUUAACCAGGGAAGUGCGCGCGAAACUGAAGGGCUUGAGUGCCGGAGAGGGUCGCGGAAUUCCCGGUGUAGAGGUGAAAUUCGUAGAUAUCGGGAGGAACACCAGUGGCGAAGGCGGCGACCUGGACGGACACUGACGCUGAGACGCGAAAGCGUGGGGAGCAAACAGG